GACGAACGCUGGCGGCGUGCUUAACACAUGCAAGUCGAACGGAAAGGCCCUGCUUUUGUGGGGUGCUCGAGUGGCGAACGGGUGAGUAACACGUGAGUAACCUGCCCUUGACUUUGGGAUAACUUCAGGAAACUGGGGCUAAUACCGGAUAGGAGCUCCUGCUGCAUGGUGGGGGUUGGAAAGUUUCGGCGGUUGGGGAUGGACUCGCGGCUUAUCAGCUUGUUGGUGGGGUAGUGGCUUACCAAGGCUUUGACGGGUAGCCGGCCUGAGAGGGUGACCGGCCACAUUGGGACUGAGCUACGGCCCAGACUCCUACGGGAGGCAGCAGUGGGGAAUAUUGCACAAUGGGCGGAAGCCUGAUGCAGCAACGCCGCGUGCGGGAUGACGGCCUUCGGGUUGUAAACCGCUUUCGCCUGUGACGAAGCGUGAGUGACGGUAAUGGGUAAAGAAGCACCGGCUAUCUACGUG
Molecule: ribosomal RNA, 468 nt
Filed under: uncultured bacterium
Lineage: Bacteria
Description: partial 16S ribosomal RNA
Rfam family: Bacterial small subunit ribosomal RNA
Source: RNAcentral